AACGGCGAAGUUGAACAGGGAAAAGCCCAGCGCUGAAUCCGAUGAUCAUCCGAUUGGUCAUUUAGGAGUUGUAGCGUAUAGGUCGUAGUCAUUUGACGAUUUUCUGUAUACUCUAAGUUCCCUUGACUGGGGCUACAGCCCAUUCGAUGGUGCUAGGCCAGUAAGAGUAUCGGAAUUUUGCCAUAGUUUGGCUACACUUUGGAGUCGAGUUGCCUGGGAUCGCAGCUCAAAGAAGGUGGUAAACUUCAUCUAAGGCUAAAUAUUGCUACGAGGCCGAUAGCCAACAAGUACCGUGAGGGAAAGUUGCAAAGAACUUUGAAGAGAGAGUUCAAGAGUACGUGAAACCGCUGGCAGGGAAUCGGAUAGAGUCGGCGAUUUUCCAGUAGCACUCAACUGAUCAACAUUUUUGGCUACCAUAUGCACCUAACUGUUCAAUCAUUUUUGGUUGAAUAGUAGCACAUUUGGUCAUCCGGUUUUGCCGUAAAUUUGUUCGAUUGGUGCACUUGUUGCUGGGUUUGCGCUAAGACAUUCGCCGGUUUAUGUUUUAGACCAGGACGCAGAGGACUAUAUCACUUGUUGGUAUAGAAACCAUUCGUUGGUUUAGGCAUAUUUCUGGUGAAUGCUAUGUUGGUGUAUAUGGAUCAUUUUACGUAAAAAUUUUAUGUGUGUGCUUUGGUUAGUCAGAUUACCAACGCUAUUUACAGUGGCAUGCCACUUAUUUUUUCCGUAAAUAGUUCAUCAUCAGUUU
RNAcentral lists this ribosomal RNA (748 nucleotides) under Lemuricola nycticebi. Its description in RNAcentral is "partial 28S rRNA". It matches the Rfam family "Eukaryotic large subunit ribosomal RNA", at positions 85 to 634 of the family's 3401-position model. Lineage: Eukaryota; Metazoa; Nematoda; Chromadorea; Rhabditida; Oxyuridae. The record is from RNAcentral.